Molecule: ribosomal RNA, 454 nt
Filed under: uncultured bacterium
Lineage: Bacteria
Description: partial 16S ribosomal RNA
Rfam family: Bacterial small subunit ribosomal RNA
Source: RNAcentral
AGUGAACGCUGGCGGCGUGCUUAACACAUGCAAGUCGAACGGUUGUAGCAAUACGACGGUGGCAAACGGGUGAGUAAUAUAUAGGAAUCUGCCUUUAAGAGGGGGAUAACAGUUGGAGACGGCUGCUAAUACCCCAUACUACCAUUUAUGGGAAAGGAGCAAUCCGCUUUUAGAUGAGCCUAUAUCUGAUUAGGUAGUUGGCAGGGUAAUAGCCUACCAAGCCUAAAAUCAGUAGCCGAUCUGAGAGGAUGGUCGGCCACACUGGGACAGAGACACGGCCCAGACUCCUACGGGAGGCAGCAGUGGGGAAUAUUGGACAAUGGACGAAAGUCUGAUCCAGCAACGCCGCGUGAAGGAUGAAGGUCUUAGGAUUGUAAACUUCUUUUGCCGGGGACGAUAAUGACGGUACCCGGAGAAUAAGCACCGGCUAACUUCGUGCCAGCAGCCGCGGUAA